This 433-nucleotide ribosomal RNA is filed under the name uncultured bacterium. RNAcentral's name for it is "partial 16S ribosomal RNA". It matches the Rfam family "Bacterial small subunit ribosomal RNA", at positions 29 to 507 of the family's 1533-position model. The record is from RNAcentral.
AACGAACGCUGGCGGUAUGCCUAACACAUGCAAGUCGAACGAGACCUCCGGGUUUAGUGGCGCUUGGGUGCGUAACGCGUGGGAACCUGCCCUUAGGCUCGGAAUAACUCCCUGAAAGGGGUGCUAAUACCGGAUAACGUCUUCGGACCAAAGAUUCUUCGCAUUUGGAUGGGCCCGCGUUGUAUUAGCUAGUUGGUAGGGUAAGAGCCUACCAAGGCGUCGAUCCUUAGCUGGUCUGAGAGGAUAGUCAGCCACACUUGGACUGGGACACGGCCCAGACUCUUACGGGAUGCAGCAGUGGGGAAUAUUGGAAAAUGGGGGGAAGCAUGAACCAGCUAUGCCGCGUGAGUGAUGAAGGUCUUAGAGUAGUAAAGCUCUUUUACCCGGGAUGAUAAUGACAGUACCGAGAGAAUAAGCUCCGGCUAACUCCGUG